RNAcentral lists this ribosomal RNA (489 nucleotides) under uncultured bacterium. RNAcentral's name for it is "partial 16S ribosomal RNA". It matches the Rfam family "Bacterial small subunit ribosomal RNA", at positions 28 to 507 of the family's 1533-position model. The record is from RNAcentral.
GAUGAACGCUAGCGGGAGGCCUAACACAUGCAAGCCGAGCGGGAUUUGUUGGUUAGCUUGCUAACUAACAAUGAGAGCGGCGUACGGGUGCGUAGCACGUGUGCAACCUGCCUUUAUCUGGGGGAUAGCCUUUCGAAAGGAAGAUUAAUACCCCAUAACAUAUUGAUUGGCAUCAGUUAAUAUUGAAAGCUCCGGCGGAUAGAGAUGGGCACGCGUAAGAUUAGCUAGUUGGUGAGGUAACGGCUUACCAAGGCUGCGAUCUUUAGGGGGCCUGAGAGGGUGAUCCCCCACACUGGUACUGAGACACGGACCAGACUCCUACGGGAGGCAGCAGUGAGGAAUAUUGGACAAUGGGUGAGAGCCUGAUCCAGCCAUCCCGCGUGAAGGACUAAGGACCUAUGGUUUGUAAACUUCUUUUAUACAGGGAUAAACCUACUCUCGUGAGGGUAGCUGAAGGUACUGUAUGAAUAAGCACCGGCUAACUCCGUG